Molecule: ribosomal RNA, 422 nt
Filed under: uncultured bacterium
Lineage: Bacteria
Description: partial 16S ribosomal RNA
Rfam family: Bacterial small subunit ribosomal RNA
Source: RNAcentral
AAUUUUGGACAAUGGGGGAAACCCUGAUCCAGCCAUCCCGCGUGUAUGAUGAAGGNCUNNGGGUUNUNAAGUACUUUUGGCAGNNNNNAAAAGGUAUCUNCUAAUACGAGAUACUGCUGGCGGGAUCUGCAGAAUAAGAACCGGCUACCUGCGGGCCAGCAGCCGCGGUAAUACGUCGGGUGCAAGCGUUAAUAGGAAUUAUUGGGGGUAAAGCGUGUGUAGGCGGUUCGGAAAGUAAGAUGUGAAAUCCCAGGGCUCAACCUUGGAACUGCAUUUUUAACUGCCGAGCUAGAGUAUGUCAGAGGGGGGUAGAAUUCCACGUGUAGCAGUGAAAUGCGUAGAUAUGUGGAGGAAUACCGAUGGCGAAGGCAGCCCCCUGGGAUAAUACUGACGCUCAGACACGAAAGCGUGGGGAGCAAACA